This 433-nucleotide ribosomal RNA is filed under the name uncultured bacterium. RNAcentral describes it as "bacterial SSU rRNA". It matches the Rfam family "Bacterial small subunit ribosomal RNA", at positions 957 to 1391 of the family's 1533-position model. The record is from RNAcentral.
GAACGCGAAGAACCUUACCAGGUCUUGACAUCCCUCUGACCACUCUAGAGAUAGAGUUUUCCUUCGGGACAGAGGUGACAGGUGGUGCAUGGUUGUCGUCAGCUCGUGUCGUGAGAUGUUGGGUUAAGUCCCGCAACGAGCGCAACCCCUAUUGUUAGUUGCCAUCAUUCAGUUGGGCACUCUAGCGAGACUGCCGGUAAUAAACCGGAGGAAGGUGGGGAUGACGUCAAAUCAUCAUGCCCCUUAUGACCUGGGCUACACACGUGCUACAAUGGCUGGUACAACGAGUCGCAAGCCGGUGACGGCAAGCUAAUCUCCUAAAGCCAGUCUCAGUUCGGAUUGUAGGCUGCAACUCGCCUACAUGAAGUCGGAAUCGCUAGUAAUCGCGGAUCAGCACGCCGCGGUGAAUACGUUCCCGGGUCUUGUACACACC